Molecule: RNA transcript, 1646 nt
Organism: Sapajus apella (tufted capuchin)
Lineage: Eukaryota; Metazoa; Chordata; Mammalia; Primates; Cebidae
Gene name: L-lactate dehydrogenase A-like 6B
Exons: 1
Source: RefSeq, a predicted model, not a curated record
GAGGGUUGAAGGUGCUGCCCACGGCUCUUGGAGUCUCAACAUUCUGGUCAACGGUUUUUUUCCAUUCUCUCCCUCCACUUCCUGAGUGAGCAGCCAUAAGUUGGACAGUGCUUGUUGUGUGGGCCAUCCAGAGUGUGAGCUCAGCAGGAGCGAAUUUCUUGUGCCUGGGGAUGGCCCUGUGACCCCGUCCGGCAGCGCAGAUGCCACUCAAGCGCGCCUGGCUCUUCACCACCGUGAGCAAGACGGCGACUGUGAAGAGUGAGCUUAUUGAGCGCUUCAGUUCCGAGGAGCCGGUUCAUCACAGUAAGGUCACCGUCAUAGGAACUGGAUCGGUGGGCAUGGCCUGCGCUAUCAGCAUCUUAUUAAAAGGCUUGAGUGAUGAACUUGCCCUUGUGGAUCUUGAUGAAGGCAAACUGAAAGGGUGAGACAGUGGAUCUUCAACAUGGCAACCCUUUCAUGAAAAUGCUGAAUAUUGUUUGUAGCAAAGAUUACCUUGUCACAGCAAACUCCAAUCUAGUGAUUAUCACAGCAGGUGCAUGCCAAGAAAAGGGAGAAACGCGCCUUAAUUUAGUCCGGCAAAAUGUGGCCAUCUUCAAGUUAAUGACUUCUAGUAUUGUCCAGUACAGCCCCCUCUGCAAACUGAUUAUUGUUUCCAAUCCAGUGGAUAUCUUAACGUAUGUAGCCUGGAAGUUGAGUGCAUUUCCCAGAAACCGUGUUAUUGGAAGUGGCUGUAAUCUGGAUACUGCUCAUUUUCGUUUGUUGAUUGGACAAAAGCUUGGUAUCCAUUCUGAAAGCUGCUGUGGAUGGAUCCUCGGAGAGCAUGGAGACUCGUGUUCCUGUGUGGAGUGGAGUGAACAUAGCCGGUGUCCCUUUGAAGGAUCUGAACUCUGAUACAGGAACUGACAAAGAUCCUGAGCAAUGGAAAAGUGUCCACAAAGAAGUGACUGCUAGUGCCUAUGAGAUUAUCAAAAUGAAAGGCUAUACUUCUUGGGCCAUUGGCCUGUAUGUAGCUAAUUUAACAAAGUAUUUUGAAGAAUAUUAGGAGAACACAUCCAGUUUCCACCACAAUUAAGGGCCUCUAUGGAAUAGAUGAAGAAGUAUUCCUCAGUAUUCCUUGUAUCCUGGGAGAGAAUGGUAUUACCAACCUAAUAAAGAUAAAGCUGACCCCUGAAGAGGAGGCCCAUCUGAAAAAGAGUGCAAAAACACUUUGGGAAAUUUAGAAGGAGCAUAAGCUUUAAAGUGGUCCAAAACUACCAUUCUGAAAGUAUUGAAGAGAUCAUAGAUACAGGAUUAUAUAUCAGAAUUUUUAAUAAACUUGAAUUCCUAAAAGAUGGAAACAGGAAAGUGGAUAGAGUGACUUUCCUAUUUAUUUAGCAUCCAGGUGCUGGACGAAACUUACUUACAAUUCCUAAAGAAGUGUUUUUGGUACCUCUGAUGUAGCAGCACUUACCUUGUUAUAUAUAUGUAGUUGGCAUUUGGUUCCCAAAAAGUAGGAUGUAGGUAUUAUUGUGUUCUGGAAAUUCUGAUUCUUUUCAUUAGAUAUAUGCUAUUUCUUUCAUUCUUACUGGUUUAUACCUAUGUUCAUGUAUAUGCUGUAAAAAAAAGUGGUAGCUUCCUCUACAAUGUAAAACUAAAAGUAUUUACAU